GAUGAACGCUGGCGGCGUGCCUAAUACAUGCAAGUCGAGCGAACAGACGAGGAGCUUGCUCCUCUGACGUUAGCGGCGGACGGGUGAGUAACACGUGGAUAACCUACCUAUAAGACUGGGAUAACUUCGUGAAACCGGAGCUAAUACCGGAUAAUAUAUUGAACCGCAUGGUUCAAUAGUGAAAGACGGUUUUGCUGUCACUUAUAGAUGGAUCCGCGCCGCAUUAGCUAGUUGGUAAGGUAACGGCUUACCAAGGCAAUGAUGCGUAGCCGACCUGAGAGAGUGAUCGGCCACACUGGAACUGAGACACGGUCCAGACUCCUACGGGAGGCAGCAGUAGGGAAUAUUCCGCAAUGGGCGAAAGACUGACGGAGCAAGGCCGCGUGAGUGAUGAAGGUCUUCGGAUCGUAAAAAUCUGUUAUUAGGGAAGAACAAAUGUGUAAGUAAAUAUGCACGUAUUGACGGUACCUAAUCAGAAAGCCACGGCUAACUACGUG
Molecule: ribosomal RNA, 497 nt
Filed under: uncultured bacterium
Lineage: Bacteria
Description: partial 16S ribosomal RNA
Rfam family: Bacterial small subunit ribosomal RNA
Source: RNAcentral